This 240-nucleotide unclassified non-coding RNA is filed under the name soil metagenome. RNAcentral's name for it is "partial contains 5.8S ribosomal RNA, internal transcribed spacer 2, and large subunit ribosomal RNA". The record is from RNAcentral.
AAGACUAUAGACCUGCGGAGUACCUGCGGAAGGAUCAUUACAUGGCGGAGGAGGUGGGCACCUAGUAAAAACAAAACCCUAGGUGUGUUGCCUACCACGCUUUCUACCCUUGCCUAUUUGCACCUUUUGUCGUUCCCUCGGUGGGUCUUGAACCUGCCGGCGGCAACUUUCAAAAACCUUUUGUAGUUAGUAUCUAAUUCUUCUGAUCAAAUAUUCAAUCGUUACAACUUUUAGCAAUGG